This 104-nucleotide microRNA precursor is filed under the name Loxodonta africana (African savanna elephant). Its description in RNAcentral is "miRNA (ENSLAFG00000033204.1)". The stretch from base 28 to 79 matches the Rfam family "mir-1302 microRNA precursor family". Lineage: Eukaryota; Metazoa; Chordata; Mammalia; Proboscidea; Elephantidae. The record is from RNAcentral.
UGGAGUUUCAGAUAAACAAUUAACAAUUUUUUAGUAUAAGUAUGUCCUGUGCAAUAUUUGGGACACAUUUAUGCUAAAAAAAUUAUUAUUUAUCUAAAAUUCCA